Molecule: transfer RNA, 74 nt
Filed under: Perkinsus olseni
Lineage: Eukaryota; Perkinsozoa; Perkinsida; Perkinsidae
Description: tRNA-Arg
Rfam family: tRNA
About the family: Transfer RNA (tRNA) molecules are approximately 80 nucleotides in length.
Source: RNAcentral
GCCCGAUUAGUUCAGCUGGAUAGAAUGUCUGCCUACGGAGCAGAUGGUCGUAGGUUUGAAUCCUACAUCGGGUA